CAUAUAUGAACUCUUCCAGGAGGUGCCAAGUCCCAGCUCCCAAAACAACAUUACUCUCAAACAUCCAGAUAGCAGCAUGUGGAACAGAGAUAUUCACUUUCAGAAAUUCUCUAUUUUGAAAAAAGGAACAACUGAUGUUGUGAUAAAUUUAUGUAAUUUGACAAUUAAUCUACCUCACAUGCUUGUGAAUAUGUAUUUAUUUCCUACCACCAUAGUGGAAGAGAGACUAUCCCUAACUUUACACCUGGUAGUAUUUCCAGCAGUAAGCUGUGAGAUUCUUCUUGAAAUCACUUCUCAAAUAAAAAACAGACCCGGGAAACACACUACACUCACUCUGCUAAAGGAAUAGUGGUAACUGAGGAAACAGGGAUUCACAAGACACAGACUGUUCCCUGAAUAUUUUUUUUCUCCUCGGACAUCAGUUCAUCAGUCAACCAAGUCAUGUGAGAGUGGCGGCCAUGUAUUCCCUAUUAUUCUUGGGCAGUCUCCUGUAAGGAGGAAAAGGCCAGGAGGUCCUGUUAGAGGAUGCACUCUGAGAGGCUAAGCUCCUUAAGAUGUGAGAGCUCUAACUAGCAGGUGCAGACUUUUCAGGAGGUGGGGAAUGAGGCAGGCAUUCCAAACCUGGAGCUUCAUCACCUUUUGUUUCAUCUCAAGACAAUUCUGAUGAGCUGUUUUGGAACGUGUCUGGAAGGUGAAUGUUGAAGAAGAGUGCAGGCUUUGAUGUGAGUCAGAUGAGGUCUUUCAUGGGGAGCCAGGAAUUCAAUGCCCAGAAUCUGGGUUGGUGUCUUUGAGGUCAGGAGGUUGCCUCUUUGUAUCCAAGUCCAUUAUUACUAGGGAGGAGUCUGGAGAUUCUGAGUGGCUUCCAGACCCCCUCUCUGAUUCCCUUUUGGAGAUGAGGUCUGAAAAAGACAAAGUCAGUAUUUUCAGGAAAUUCUAAAAAGUCUGGUUGGAAACCUGGGAAGACCUCUUACCUAAUGCCUCAAUGCUCAAUUUGCAGUUCUAGCCACAUAGCUGCUUGGUAGGCAUAGAACUGGGUUUGCCUUUAUAUCAGCAAAACCUAUGUCAGGGUUGAAGAAGUAGUCAGGACAAAGUGUCUUGGUGGCAGGCUGGAGAACAUCUUAAAAGCAAAUUUCUAGCCUGCUGACUCUUGGCAAUGAGUGUUGGGUCCUGGCCAAAGUGCUUGAAUGCAGCGUGAGGCUAAUCCAUAAAUUCACCUUCUAAUGGAAAAAUGUUUGCAUUUUUUUCAGUUUGAUGCAAUCAGGGUGAAAUUACCAUGCUAUUGGUUUGUGUACUUUUUUAUUCUUUCACAUAAAAUCUAAGACAAAAUACAUUAAAUGCUUAUUGACAUAUGUAUUUAUUCUUCACCAGACUCAUAACAUCUGCCUAAUUUUAAACUUUCUUCCAUUUUGUAGGUUUCAACUUCUUUUAUUGUAAGAUAUUAAAUCUAAUACAGGCAUUAUGACUUUUACAUAUAAUUUUCUUUUAUUUCAUAUAUUUCCUAUUGGCAUUUUACAUUUAAAUUAUGGACAUUUUGUCAUAUAAAUAGCUUAAUUUCUAUUUUAAAAAUAAAAGUCUUUGGGUUUUUUUUGUCUUGUAAUUUUCGUAUUACAUAGUAAUGAGAUAAACAUUAAUGUUUUCAGGGUAUUUUAAAUUUUAGAUAAUUACUCAUUUUAUCCAUAUGAAGUUUGUUUUUACUGCAUGUGUGGGUUGGAGAACUCUUUUCACUUCUGCUUCAUCUUUACUCUGAACUCAUAGCUCUUGUAGUUGGAAGAUUGCAGUUUAUCAUUCCAAUCAAUGGGGUAAAUGUAAUGACAACAUUCUACAAAUGAGUUUGAAAGCAGGACAUGUCCUCAAAGCAUGCACAACAUGGGCCUACAUAUGUACAACAAUAGUAAUUUAUAAGUUACAGUUUGGAUGGAAAAUACAAGUACAGAAAUUUUGUUAAAGUAAAUUAAAAUGGAUAUCAGGUCUUAGCAACCUCUGAGCAGACAAAAUCAGUUAGAUCUCAUAAGUGAUCUCAACCUUGAUUGAUUUGCAAAUAUAAGCAAAACCUAAAUUAUUUCUUGUAGCUGCCUAUUUAAAAAACAGGAGUGAAACUCAGCCAAUCAGGGGUAGCCAACAACCUUAUAUAAAUAGGAAAUGUCCAACAAGGUAAACAAACAAAAAGCAAACAAAAAAAAAUUAGGUGCUGCCACCAAUCAAAUGAUUUCUUUGCUUCCACGUUUUUCCAAUAAAUAUUUGCUUUUUACACUGUCAAUGAAACACUAAAUAUCUUUCAGUCUGAUGUUCUAUAAUUUAUCAAUCGCUGUUACUCAAAUGAACACUUUACAAUUUCA
Mandrillus leucophaeus (drill) is the source of this 2336-nucleotide RNA transcript. RefSeq lists it as uncharacterized. The transcript has 2 exons. The record is from RefSeq and is a predicted model, not a curated record. Lineage: Eukaryota; Metazoa; Chordata; Mammalia; Primates; Cercopithecidae.